AUGCAAACUGAUAUCAUCAUCAAUCUUCUCUGCCUCUCCCCAGAGAUUCCAGUUGGGCUAGAGGCUGAGCACCUUUGGGAACAACGUUUAAGGGAAUACUUGGCCAGCAACAAGGUCAAGUUCAGGCUUUUGGCAGCCCCGGAAACCGGGGUGUGUGGGCGGUCGUUGGGGAAGGACGGAGGAGGUGGGGGGUGGGGCGGAGAUUCGAGGUCCGAGAGCAGAGCUAGGAAGUGGGGUGCUUGCUGUUUCUGUUCUUCUGGGGGCUUCCGCAGAUUUGGCGGAGUUUUGAGAAUGAGUGGAACCGGGCUGAGGGCGGAGAGAGGGAGCCAAGCAAGGAAAGGGGCCGACGUUCGCGGCGGGCGGGUGGAGAGUGAUGCACCUCGAAAAGCCCGGAAGUUGAUCCACCAGCCCGAGAACCGGCUACUCCCUGCCUUCAGCUGCUUGAUCCCUGGAGACGGAGCUCAAUUCAGAGCGAGCAGACAUCACCCUUUCUUCCCAAACCUAACUGUUUCUUUCUUUCUUUUUUCCUUCCUUCUCCCUUCUGUGCUCUCCCUCCCGUUUCCCCGGCUCCUCCGAUCUGUAUUCUCUCCAGCCCCGCAAACGCCUUUCUCCUUCCAGGGCCUCCAGAUCUCCUCGUUCGCCAACCGCAGCUGGACACGCACAGACGGCCUCGCGUGGCUGGGGGAGCUGCAGCCCUAUACUUGGCGCAAUGAAUCGGACACCAUCCGCUUCCUGAAGCCUUGGUCUCGGGGCACAUUCAGCGACCAGCAGUGGGAGCAGCUGCAGCAUACACUUCUGGUUUAUCGCAGCAGCUUCACCAGGGAUAUCUGGGAAUUCGUGGAAAAGCUGCACGUCGAAUAUCCACUUGAGAUCCAGAUAGCUACAGGAUGUGAGCUGCUCCCGAGGAACAUCUCAGAAAGCUUCUUACGUGCAGCAUUUCAAGGAAGGGAUGUCCUGAGUUUCCAAGGAAUGUCUUGGGUGUCAGCCCCAGAUGCCCCGCCUUUUAUCCAGGAGGUCAUCAAGGUGCUCAAUCAGAACCAAGGGACCAAGGAAACAGUGCACUGGCUCCUCCAUGACAUCUGGCCCGAGUUGGUCAGAGGCGUCUUGCAGACCGGGAAGUCUGAGCUGGAGAAGCAAGUGAAGCCGGAGGCUUGGCUGUCCAGUGGCCCCAGUCCUGGGCCUGGCCGUCUGCUGCUGGUGUGCCACGUCUCAGGAUUCUACCCAAAACCUGUGCGGGUGAUGUGGAUGAGGGGCGAGCAGGAGGAGCCUGGCACUCGGCAGGGAGACGUCAUGCCCAAUGCCGACUCGACUUGGUAUCUGCGAGUAACCCUGGAUGUGGCGGCUGGGGAGGUGGCUGGCCUGAGUUGCCAAGUGAAGCACAGCAGUCUAGGAGACCAGGACAUCAUCCUGUACUGGAAUGGGAAUCAUGUCUCCAGGGGCUUGAUUGUCAUCCUGGUACUACUGGUGUUCGUCCUUCUGUUUGUUGGAGGCUUAGUCUUCUGGUUUAGGAAGCACCGCCGCUAUCAAGAUAUCCCAUGACUCUCCUCACCACACCUAUCUGUCUGGACUUCAGGAUCUCAGGGCUUUAGCCCUCAGAAUUUGAGGGUUACCUUGAAGAAGCAGAGAACAGGCAGCUCUUGUCACACAUUUUGAACAUUUUAUCUAAGAGGAUUUUGUUUUUUCUUUUAGUAUACUGCAAGUGUAUAUGUCCCAAGUAGUUCUGUAAAAAACAGAAGUGCAAACUCAGAUACCUCUCAGGGACAAGCAGAUAAAGGCUGCAGUGUAACUGUGUGUGAUCCUUAUUUGAAUGAUGGAAUAUGCAGUCAACUGGAAGAUCCUUUUCCUGUUCCAAGGAAGCAAGUGCAACUGUUCCUUGUGAAGUAUAAAGUAAGACUUUGGCUUGGCUGUAACCCACCUUUUUUUUCAAGAAAAACAGGUCUAGCAUUAUAGGUG
Molecule: unclassified non-coding RNA, 1953 nt
Filed under: Bos taurus (domestic cattle)
Lineage: Eukaryota; Metazoa; Chordata; Mammalia; Artiodactyla; Bovidae
Description: CD1D antigen, d polypeptide
Source: RNAcentral